AAGCAACUUAGCACGCGCACACUUCCUCUCCAAGGAAGCACUGAUCUGACAAAAAAACAGAGGAAGAAAAGCCUCUCCACAACCUAUUGCUGCUGCUGCUGCUGCCUGCUGCUAAGUCGCCCACCAGGCUCCUCAUCCAUGGGAUUCUCUAGGUGGUGAUUGGCAGGUGGGACUGAGUCCCCACUGACGCUUGAGAAGACCCCAGCCCCAGGGCACUUUCCACGGCAAGGAGCAGGGUCAUCCAUGGCUGCUGGAGGGGGGCUGUCCCAGCAGCUGCAGAAGAGACUGCAGGAGGAGGCCAGGCCUCUCCAAGGGACCCUGAUUGGACUUCGGACAUUUAUCGUGACGAGCAUCUCAAGGUGCGAAACCAGAACAUCAAGCCUGCCGCACCCUGGACAGCAUGGCUCAGACAAGGCUCGGCACAAACAGGAAGUGAUUUCAAGAAAGAGUUAAAUAGCAGCACAGAAGGUGCUCAGAGGAACAGAAAUGUGGAGCUGGGACCAGAAUGGCGGAAUUUUCCCUGGCAUCUUGCUACACUAUAAAUUUGACUCCAAGCUUCCCAGUGCCACAGAGCCUUCCAGAAGGAGAGUCCAACAGGACUGGUGGAGUCUCAAAGGACAGCCUGGGAGAUGAGGCUACUGGAGGCCAAGAAGGGAUCGCCUCACUCCAGACCCCAAACCUCCUCCCCACGCUCCAUCCCCAAAGCUGUGGCGCCUGGAUUGUGGCCAUUCCCCUGCUUGCUGAGAGGAUUAAGUGUCUAAAGUCCUCAUCGGGGGAAUUCCCAGGCAGUCCAGUGGCUGGGACUCUGCCCGUCCACUGCAAGGGGCACGGUUUCUUUCCCUGGUCAGAGCACUAAGAUUCCAUAUGCUGCACAACAUGACCAAAAAAUAACAUUAAAAAAAAAUUUUUUUUUAAUAAAAUAAAUAAAUCAAUCCACAGCCCACAGUGGGCGCUCAAUAAAUGGUGAUCGUCUUUGUCA
Bos taurus (domestic cattle) is the source of this 979-nucleotide long non-coding RNA. The record is from Ensembl. NCBI's taxonomy places the organism in Eukaryota, Metazoa, Chordata, Mammalia, Artiodactyla, Bovidae.